GCUGACUCUCUUUUCAGACUCAGCCAGCCUGCACCCAGGUGAAAUAAACAGCCAUGUUGCUCACGCAAAGCCUGUUUGGUGGUCUCUUCAAACAGACGUGCAUGAAAUUUGGUGCCCUGACUCGGAUCGGGGGACCUCCCUUGGGAGAUCAAUCCCCUGUACUUCUGUUCUUUGCUCCAUGAGAAAGAUCCACCUAUGACCUCAGGUCCUCAGACCAACCAGCCCAAGGAACAUCUCACCAAUUUUAAAUCAGUUUUUCAAGUGGUACCUGAGAUUCAGCACUUCUAAAAAGCUCCAAGGUGAUGAAGGUGCUGCUAGUUGGAGGCCAUACUUUGAGUUGCCAGAUGCUAAAAAUUCAACAGAUGGGAGUAGGAUUUAAUGGCAUCAAGAUUACAGCAAGAGUGUCGUCAAUGUCUGAGAGAAAAGGCACAGGACAAUUCAUGUAAUCUACUUUUUACCUCCUCACUAUGCCAGCAGCACACUUGGAGAGGAAUGUUAUAAUGGAAGAAGCUGCCCAGUCACUGAUUAAAAUGUAAGAAACUGUGCUCCAUUGCAGACAUCUCCUGUUAUGCGUUCAUGAGCAUAUAUGUGUUCUAGUAUGUGUAACCUUUAAGACAAUGAUGGAAUUUGAACCAUACUUUAGGACUGACACAGGUAAGAGAGUCUUGUAUUAAUAAGCUUCAAAAUAUUUUAUUGUAACUUAAAUUACCUCAGCAAUGAUACUGGGGUAGUCAGAAAAAAAAUUCACCUAAUUUUGAACUGAUUUUUUUUAAACUUUAGUAGCUUUGUGUUAGACAGAUAAUGUAAUCUGAGUUUCAAUUAACUUAUUUAUGGUAUGGUAGUAAAACUACCCUCUACACAGUGCUCUUGAUAGAGUUUUUAGAUAUAAAUAGUUUCUGUGGUGGAAGGAUUUGUUUUGCCAGUUGAGUCACAUGUAAUGUUUGACAAACAUAAGAAGAUAUUUGAGAUGAAAAAAUGAUGUUAUAUAAAGGCACAGAAAGAGAAAAUACAAGUUUGAUUGAAGUAGAGGGCUUAUAAAAGGAAAAUAAGUGUUAAAAGUGAGCUUUGGGGCAGAUUGUGGAGUGCUUCAUACAGAUUGGGAUCUAUAGGAGUCUAACUGGCUACUAGACUUCUUGAGACAUAAAAUGAUUGAUUUAACUGGAAGCAAUAUGCAUGUUAGAAGGGAGAAAAAACUUCUAACGGAGGUAGCAGUUCAAUUAGGAAG
Long non-coding RNA from Homo sapiens (human), 1225 nucleotides. RefSeq annotates it as lncRNA p53 regulated and ESC associated 2. The record is from RefSeq and is marked validated. The transcript is spliced from 3 exons. NCBI's taxonomy places the organism in Eukaryota, Metazoa, Chordata, Mammalia, Primates, Hominidae.